This 499-nucleotide ribosomal RNA is filed under the name uncultured bacterium. RNAcentral describes it as "partial 16S ribosomal RNA". It matches the Rfam family "Bacterial small subunit ribosomal RNA", at positions 30 to 523 of the family's 1533-position model. The record is from RNAcentral.
AUUGAACGCUGGCGGCAGGCCUAACACAUGCAAGUCGAGCGGAUGAGGGGAGCUUGCUUCCUGAUUCAGCGGCGGACGGGUGAGUAAUGCCUAGGAAUCUGCCUGGUAGUGGGGGACAACGUUUCGAAAGGAACGCUAAUACCGCAUACGUCCUACGGGAGAAAGUGGGGAUCUUCGGACCUCACGCUAUCAGAUGAGCCUAGGUCGGAUUAGCUAGUUGGUGAGGUAAAGGCUCACCAAGGCGACGAUCCGUAACUGGUCUGAGAGGAUGAUCAGUCACACUGGAACUGAGACACGGUCCAGACUCCUACGGGAGGCAGCAGUGGGGAAUAUUGGACAAUGGGCGAAAGCCUGAUCCAGCCAUGCCGCGUGUGUGAAGAAGGUCUUCGGAUUGUAAAGCACUUUAAGUUGGGAGGAAGGGCUGUAGGCUAAUAUCCUGCAGUUUUGACGUUACCGACAGAAUAAGCACCGGCUAACUUCGUGCCAGCCGCCGCCGUAA